Molecule: transfer RNA, 85 nt
Filed under: Microcaldota archaeon
Lineage: Archaea; Nanobdellati; Microcaldota
Also listed under: 1 other name
Description: Candidatus Micrarchaeota archaeon (hot springs metagenome) tRNA-Leu
Rfam family: tRNA
About the family: Transfer RNA (tRNA) molecules are approximately 80 nucleotides in length.
Source: RNAcentral
GCAGGGGUAGCAAAGCCUGGUCAAAUGCGCCAGCUUGAGGGGCUGGUCCCUUAGGGGUUCGUGAGUUCAAAUCUCACCCCCUGCA